AGUGAACGCUGGCGGUAGGCCUAACACAUGCAAGUCGAACGGCAGCACAGUAAGAGCUUGCUCUUACGGGUGGCGAGUGGCGGACGGGUGAGGAAUACAUCGGAAUCUACUUUUUCGUGGGGGAUAACGUAGGGAAACUUACGCUAAUACCGCAUACGACCUACGGUUGAAAGCAGGGGAUCUUCGGACCUUGCGCGAUUGAUUGAGCCGAUGUCGGAUUAGCUAGUUGGCGGGGUAAAGGCCCACCAAGGCGACGAUCCGUAGCUGGUCUGAGAGGAUGAUCAGCCACACUGGAACUGAGACACGGUCCAGACUCCUACGGGAGGCAGCAGUGGGGAAUAUUGGACAAUGGGCGCAAGCCUGAUCCAGCCAUACCGCGUGGGUGAAGAAGGCCUUCGGGUUGUAAAGCCCUUUUGUUGGGAAAGAAAGGCAGCAGGUUAAUACCCCGCUGUUCUGACGGUACCCAAAGAAUAAGCACCGGCUAACUUCGUG
This 492-nucleotide ribosomal RNA is filed under the name uncultured bacterium. Its description in RNAcentral is "partial 16S ribosomal RNA". It matches the Rfam family "Bacterial small subunit ribosomal RNA", at positions 29 to 507 of the family's 1533-position model. The record is from RNAcentral.